CCUACGGGAGGCAGCAGUGAGGAAUAUUGGUCAAUGGACGAGAGUCUGAACCAGCCAAGUAGCGUGAAGGAUGACUGCCCUAUGGGUUGUAAACUUCUUUUAUAUGGGAAUAAAAUGUUCCACGUGUGGCUUUUUGUAUGUACCUUAUGAAUAAGGAUCGGCUAACUCCGUGCCAGCAGCCGCGGUAAUACGGAGGAUCCGAGCGUUAUCCGGAUUUAUUGGGUUUAAAGGGAGCGUAGGUGGAUUGUUAAGUCAGUUGUGAAAGUUUGCGGCUCAACCGUAAAAUUGCAGUUGAUACUGGCAGUCUUGAGUACAGUAGAGGUGGGCGGAAUUCGUGGUGUAGCGGUGAAAUGCUUAGAGAUCACGAAGAACUCCGAUUGCGAAGGCAGCUCACUGGACUGCAACUGACACUGAGGCUCGAAAGUGUGGGUAUCAAACAGGAUUAGAUACCCGGGUAGUC
RNAcentral lists this ribosomal RNA (460 nucleotides) under uncultured bacterium. RNAcentral's name for it is "partial 16S ribosomal RNA". It matches the Rfam family "Bacterial small subunit ribosomal RNA", at positions 338 to 795 of the family's 1533-position model. The record is from RNAcentral.